Molecule: ribosomal RNA, 433 nt
Filed under: uncultured bacterium
Lineage: Bacteria
Description: partial 16S ribosomal RNA
Rfam family: Bacterial small subunit ribosomal RNA
Source: RNAcentral
AACGAACGCUGGCGGCAUGCCUAACACAUGCAAGUCGAACGAGACCUUCGGGUCUAGUGGCGCACGGGUGCGUAACGCGUGGGAAUCUGCCCUUGGGUUCGGAAUAACAGUUGGAAACGACUGCUAAUACCGGAUGAUGACGUAAGUCCAAAGAUUUAUCGCCCAAGGAUGAGCCCGCGUAGGAUUAGCUAGUUGGUGAGGUAAAGGCUCACCAAGGCGACGAUCCUUAGCUGGUCUGAGAGGAUGAUCAGCCACACUGGGACUGAGACACGGCCCAGACUCCUACGGGAGGCAGCAGUGGGGAAUAUGGGACAAUGGGCGAAAGCCUGAUCCAGCAAUGCCGCGUGAGUGAUGAAGGCCUUAGGGUUGUAAAGCUCUUUUACCCGGGAUGAUAAUGACAGUACCGGGAGAAUAAGCGCCGGCUAACUCCGUG